This 468-nucleotide ribosomal RNA is filed under the name uncultured bacterium. RNAcentral describes it as "partial 16S ribosomal RNA". It matches the Rfam family "Bacterial small subunit ribosomal RNA", at positions 28 to 507 of the family's 1533-position model. The record is from RNAcentral.
GACGAACGCUGGCGGCGGGCUUAACACAUGCAAGUCGAACGGAAAGGCCCCGCUUUUGUGGGGUGCUCGAGGGGCGAACGGGUGUGUAACGCGUGAGUAACCUGCCUUGUACGUUGUGAUAACUGCAGGAAACUGGGGCUAAUACCUGAGAGGAGCGGCGGCUGCAUUUUGGGGGUUGGAAAGUUUCGGCGGUUGGGUAGGGAGUCGGGGCUUAUCAGGUUGUUGGUGGGGUAGUGGAUUACCAAGGCUUUGACGGGUAGCAGGCCUGAGGGGGUGACCGGCCCAAUUGGGACUGGGAUAAGGCACAGACUCCUACGGGAGGCAGCAGUGGGGAAUAUUACACAAUGGGAGGAAGCCUGAUGCAGUCACGCCGCGUGCGGGAUGAGGAGAUUGGGGUUGUAAAGCGCUUCCGCCUGGGACGAAACGUGAGUGACGGUACUGGGAAAAGAAGCACCGGCAAACUACGUG